UGGGGAAUUUUGGACAAUGGGCGAAAGCCUGAUCCAGCAAUGCCGCGUGUGUGAAGAAGGCCUUCGGGUCGUAAAGCACUUUUGUCCGGAAAGAAAUCCUUGGCUCUAAUGCAGUCGGGGGAUGACGGUACCGGAAGAAUAAGCACCGGCUAACUACGUGCCAGCAGCCGCGGUAAUACGUAGGGUGCAAGCGUUAAUCGGAAUUACUGGGCGUAAAGCGUGCGCAGGCGGUUUGCUAAGACCGAUGUGAAAUCCCCGGGCUCAACCUGGGAACUGCAUUGGUGACUGGCAGGCUAGAGUAUGGCAGAGGGGGGUAGAAUUCCACGUGUAGCAGUGAAAUGCGUAGAGAUGUGGAGGAAUACCGAUGGCGAAGGCAGCCCCCUGGGCCAAUACUGACGCUCAUGCACGAAAGCGUGGGGAGCAAACAGGAUUAGAUACCCUGGUAGUCCACGCCCUAAACGAUGUCAACUAGUUGUUGGGGAUUCAUUUCCUUAGUAACGUAGCUAACGCGUGAAGUUGACCGCCUGGGGAGUACGGUCGCAAGAUUAAAACUUAAAUGAAUUGACGGGGUCAUAGCUGUUUCCU
RNAcentral lists this ribosomal RNA (585 nucleotides) under uncultured bacterium. RNAcentral's name for it is "partial 16S ribosomal RNA". It matches the Rfam family "Bacterial small subunit ribosomal RNA", at positions 355 to 1375 of the family's 1533-position model. The record is from RNAcentral.